Molecule: microRNA precursor, 95 nt
Filed under: Lotus japonicus
Lineage: Eukaryota; Viridiplantae; Streptophyta; Magnoliopsida; Fabales; Fabaceae
Description: miR166 stem-loop (lja-MIR166)
Gene: lja-MIR166
Rfam family: mir-166 microRNA precursor family
About the family: This family represents the plant microRNA (miRNA) precursor mir-166.
Source: miRBase by way of RNAcentral
GUUGAGGGGAAUGCUGUCUGGUUCGAGAUCAUUCUUAUGAAGCAAAGAAAACCGAGGAAAGGAAUGAUUUCGGACCAGGCUUCAUUCCCCCCAGC